CAGUGGGGAAUCUUGGGCAAUGGGCGAAAGCCUGACGCAGCGACGCCGCGUGAGCGAAGAAGGCCUUCGGGUCGUAAAGCUCUGUCUUUGGGGAAGAAGAAAGUGACGGUACCCAAGGAGGAAGCCCCGGCUAACUACGUGCCAGCAGCCGCGGUAAUACGUAGGGGGCGAGCGUUGUCCGGAAUUACUGGGCGUAAAGGGUGCGUAGGCGGCUGAUUAAGUCAGAUGUGAAAUACCAGGGCUCAACCCUGGGGGUGCAUUUGAAACUGGCCAGCUUGAGUGCAGGAGAGGGAAGUGGAAUUCCUAGUGUAGCGGUGAAAUGCGUAGAGAUUGGGAGGAACACCGGUGGCGAAGGCGGCUUUCUGGACGACAACUGACGCUGAGGCGCGAAAGCGUGGGGAGCAAACA
Molecule: ribosomal RNA, 408 nt
Filed under: uncultured bacterium
Lineage: Bacteria
Description: bacterial SSU rRNA
Rfam family: Bacterial small subunit ribosomal RNA
Source: RNAcentral